Molecule: long non-coding RNA, 1799 nt
Filed under: Sus scrofa (pig)
Lineage: Eukaryota; Metazoa; Chordata; Mammalia; Artiodactyla; Suidae
Description: lncRNA (ENSSSCG00000055632.1)
Source: RNAcentral
CAAAGAAUAUGAGGCAAGGCUUGAUUCUAGACACUAAGACAAACCCAGUUUAAGCUGAUGCCAUAGCUCUAAAGAAGGGCCAUCUGUUCAGCUCUAAUAGUAUUUUCUUUUUUUUUUUCACCUUUGUAGCUUAGUUUUAAACCCUGUCUGGGACACCUGCUCGAUGUGAAAUGAUACUGGCAGGUCUCAGUCCAUUUGUGGCUAGCUGAAAUUUUCCAUCUUCCUUUCCAGAAAAAUGGUCCAUAAGGAAAUUAAGUGAAAAGAGUGAGAUGUCACACAUGGAUUCACGUGUAGGUGUGCUAGAGGCCUAGAUAAUCUUCCUGUGUGAAAAGUACAAUAUAAAUUCAGCACUGGUUCAUUGGUUCAUCCACUUUGCUUCUCAGCAGCUCUCUAACACCUGAGGUCUCCUGUCUCCUAAAGAUGAUGCAACUUUAGGGAUAUCUUUUUACUAUUCUAAGCCCCUGCACAAUUUGAGCUGAGAUUGUAGCAUGGCUUGAAAUUGGCUGUGAUUUGCGGCUUCAUUUAAACAGGGACGGUGUAUGAAAGUAGUGUUAAGAGGUACAUGUUCUGUGCUUUUUUACAUUAUGUAAAUAGAUCUAAAGUCUCCAGAAAUAACAAAGAAUAUUCAGAGUUUAUGAGUAAACAGAUUAGAUGCCUUCAGACCACAUACUACUCAAGAGAAAAAGUGUACACCAUAUGUUACUAUAACCCAAGGCAAUGUUCCUAUGUGGUAUGAAUUUUGAUGUCAAAAGUCAAUAAAGUCUUUUCCAUAUAAAUUUAAAGCCACCAAAAAGUUCACUGAAUUUACUAAUACACAAUUAGUUUCUUGUUACAGAUAAUUUCUAUUGAUCCAAAUCUGGUUUGUCAGCAUGGAUUAAUCAAAAUUGUUAGGAAUUGAGAUCUGGGUGGCUCAAGGGAUCCAUUCCUGGGCUACAAGCCUUUCACCCCCAGGUCACUGUUUUCAAUACUUAAAGGAGUUUUGAGAGGCCCAUUUGACAGCUGGUGUGAAACAAACCAGUACUUUCAACUAAGUCCCUCACACAGAUUCAUCGUUCCUUAUAUUCAAAGACACUAUCACUUAUUUGUCUGAUAGUCUAUGUAAAGUGAAAAAUUAUUGCCUUAUCAGCAGUCCUGGUUAUUAUUCAUCGAUAUGUUCAUAUUUCUAAUCUCCUAUGGUAAACAGUAACAGUUGUUAUCUUUAAGGCCUGCUGUAUGUAAUUAUUGAAUAUUUAUCUCAGUAUGACAUUUUCCUGCAAAGGAAACCAGCUGAUCUCUGAUUGGCUCCUCAGACAAUUAUAUAAUCUUUCCUUUGCAGAAUAAACUGUAGAAAUGUUUCUUUUCUGGAAAUUAUUUGUGUGUAUCUCCUUUGUUUGCCUUUCAAGGUCUUUUCUGAGGUGCCGGUUGUAAUGUUCUUAUGUUUCUUAUUAAAUAAAAACUCCAGGUCCAUGUCCUCCAGAUAGAUGGCUUCCUUGGAGAAAUACUAUUCCUAGCAGUUCUUGGGUUAGAUGAUUAUCCUUCACUUUCUUAGUGGUUGGGAGGCUUUUAACCUUAUCCUGGGCAUGCAUGGUGAUCUGCUAGGUAGCACAUAGGCCCUGAUCUUUGAUCUCAUCACAGGAGGUCAAAGAUCUGAAGACUGCUCUUUCUUUCAGCCCUCAACCUGGUUGAAGUUGCUAAGACUAUUCACUUUAUUCAGGGUGAAUCAGGUAAUCUUGUUUUCUAGAUCUUUUACAACUGUAGAUCCGGCAUUGUCAGUGCUGUGGCAUGGGUUCGAUCUAUGGCCCAGGAACUUCCACAUGCCA